Molecule: non-coding RNA, 31 nt
Filed under: Homo sapiens (human)
Lineage: Eukaryota; Metazoa; Chordata; Mammalia; Primates; Hominidae
Source: RNAcentral
CUGAAGAAGACAUGGUUCUGGAGAGUCCUGC